AUUUAUCUAAUAUAAAAAGUAUAUUUGACUUCCAAUCAAAAAGUUUGUUAAAACAAGAUAAAUA
Molecule: transfer RNA, 64 nt
Filed under: Episymploce sundaica
Lineage: Eukaryota; Metazoa; Arthropoda; Insecta; Blattodea; Blattellidae
Description: tRNA-Gly
Source: RNAcentral